AGGGCCCCGUAGGUGACCUGCGGAGGGAUCAUUACACAAAUAUGAAGGCGGGCUGGAACCUCUCGGGGUUACAGCCUUGCUGAAUUAUUCACCCUUGUCUUUUGCGUACUUCUUGUUUCCUUGGUGGGUUCGCCCACCACUAGGACAAACAUAAACCUUUUGUAAUUGCAAUCAGCGUCAGUAACAAAUUAAUAAUUACAACUUUCAACAACGGAUCUCUUGGUUCUGGCAUCGAUGAAGAACGCAGCGAAAUGCGAUAAGUAGUGUGAAUUGCAGAAUUCAGUGAAUCAUCGAAUCUUUGAACGCACAUUGCGCCCUUUGGUAUUCCAAAGGGCAUGCCUGUUCGAGCGUCAUUUGUACCCUCAAGCUUUGCUUGGUGUUGGGCGUCUUGUCUCUAGCUUUGCUGGAGACUCGCCUUAAAGUAAUUGGCAGCCGGCCUACUGGUUUCGGAGCGCAGCACAAGUCGCACUCUCUAUCAGCAAAGGUCUAGCAUCCAUUAAGCCUUUUUUUCAACUUUUGACCUCGGAUCAGGUAGGGAUACCCGCUGAACUUAA
RNAcentral lists this ribosomal RNA (554 nucleotides) under Alternaria alternata. RNAcentral's name for it is "eukaryotic LSU rRNA". The stretch from base 200 to 353 matches the Rfam family "5.8S ribosomal RNA". The record is from RNAcentral. Lineage: Eukaryota; Fungi; Ascomycota; Dothideomycetes; Pleosporales; Pleosporaceae.